AUGGUCACCCGGCUCCUCUGCUGUGUGAUUCUUUGUCUCCUGGGAGUAGAGCCCAUGGAUGCUGAAGUCAUCCAGACACCCAGGCAUGAAGUGACGGAGACGGGACAAGCAGUUACUCUGAGAUGUCAGCCAAUUUCAGGACACACUGCCCUUUUCUGGUAUAGACAGACUGUGGUGCAGGGCCUGGAGUUGCUGAUUUACUUCAGCAACCAGGCUCCCAUAGAUGACAAAGGGAUGCCCAAGGAACGAUUCUCAGCUCAGAUGCCUAACGCCUCAGUCUCCACUCUGAAGAUCCAGCCCACAGAACCCAGGGACUCAGCACUCUACCUCUGUGCCAGCAGCUCAGCCACAGCGCUGCAGGAUCCCCCCCUCCCUGUGCACAAACCCUGGUGCUUCCCCUUCUCCUUCAGCUCCCAGCAGUUCUCAGCAGCCCUUCUAGCCUCCUCCCCCAUCACAGGAAGGACGUGGGCUUGA
Galeopterus variegatus (Sunda flying lemur) is the source of this 474-nucleotide non-coding RNA. Lineage: Eukaryota; Metazoa; Chordata; Mammalia; Dermoptera; Cynocephalidae. The record is from the annotation of a RefSeq genome assembly.